RNAcentral lists this long non-coding RNA (1387 nucleotides) under Dromaius novaehollandiae (emu). RNAcentral describes it as "lncRNA (ENSDNVG00000008749.1)". Lineage: Eukaryota; Metazoa; Chordata; Aves; Casuariiformes; Dromaiidae. The record is from RNAcentral.
GGGCCCCCCGGAGCGCCCAGCUGGGCCCUGACCUGUGUUGUCCCCCAGGACGCCCACCAUGAAGCUCUGGCUGUCCCUGGUGUGCUUGGCCACCGUGGCUGCGGCGUCUGUCACCCCGGGGCCCGGGCUGGAGGCCCCUCCCCAAAGGCCGAAGCCGACCGUGCUGCAGCUGGUGCCAGCUCCUGCCGACCGCCCGGGCACAGAGGGGUACGCGGGGACGACGAGCCCACCCCCGCCCGGCACCGGUGCCCACCCCAACGCGGUGCCCAGCUCGGCUGCAGCGCUCACCGUCACGGAGGCUCCCAGCCCGGGCACGGAGCUGGCCACGGGGCCGGCGAGCACCAGCCCCAGCCCCACGGAGCCGGAGGGGCCGCCCGAGGCCGCGGGCACACCGGCCAACGGGACCACGGCCACCCCCGUGCCCGUGCCCACGGAGGGGCCCACCAGCGCCCCGGUCACAACCGCCCCGCCGUGCCCCGGGGACGAGGAGCCAGCUGAGGUCUGCGGGGAACCCACAGGGGAAGAGACGGCGGCGGUGGCCGAGGCGCUGAGCACCUUCGCCCUGCGCUUCUACCAGCGGCUGGCGGAGGCCACGGAGCCCAGCACCAACCUGCUCUUCUCGCCCAUCAACGUGGCCUUGGGGCUGUCACAUCUCCUGCUGGGUGAGGGGCACCGCAGUGCCAGCACUGCGAUGGGCACAGCUGUGGGCGCUGCUGUGGGGACCGCGAUGGGCACCGCUAUGGGUGCUGCUAUGGGGCACCGCUAUGGGCACCACUAUGAAUUGCUAUGGGCACCGCUAUGGGCACCGCAACGGGCAGUGCUAUGGGCACCACUGUGAACACUGCUAUGGGCACUGCUAUGGGGCACCGCUAUGGGGCACCACUAUGAACACUGCUAUGGGCACCGCUAUGGUGACCAUGAUGGGCACUGCUGUGGGGCACCACUAUGGGCGCUGCUAUGGGCAUUCAACGGGCACUGCUAUGGGCACCACUACGAACACUGCUAUGGGCACCGCUAUGGGGCACUGCUAUGGGGCACCACUAUGAACACUGCUAUGGGCACUGCUAUGGGGCACUGCUAUGAGCACCACUAUGGGUACCACUAUGGGCACCGCUAUGGGCACUGCAAUGGGUGCUGCUAUGGGCACCGCUAUGGGGCACUGCAACGGGCUCUGCUAUGGGGCACCACUACGAACACUGCUAUGGGCACUGCUAUGGGGCACCGCUAUGGGCACCACUAUGAACUGCUAUGGGCACCGCUAUGGUGACCAUGAUGGGCACUGCUGUGGGGCACCACUACGAACACUGCUAUGGGCACCGCUACGAACACUGCUGUGGGGCACCACUAUGAACACUGCUAUGGGCACCGCUACGGGCACCGCAAUGGG